GGCAUGAAUUCUUAAAAGAAAUUAUAUCAUAGUCCAUUCGUAAACAAUCUACUUAAAAUGGAUCCACUAGCUAUACAAAUCGUAAUUGUGUUUCUAUGCCUAAAGCUCUAUUAAGGUCAUUUAUUAUUUAUUAUUAGGAUUUUUUUCUAGGAGUCUUUUUGGGCACACCGAGCAUUUUGUGCCAACUAGGUUAAGAAUUUUAGAUCAUCCAGGCAUUCAAGUCUGGAUGGGAUCUAAGAGGAU
This 243-nucleotide long non-coding RNA is filed under the name Elaeis guineensis (African oil palm). RNAcentral describes it as "long non-coding RNA (EGUI_LNC022902)". The record is from RNAcentral. Lineage: Eukaryota; Viridiplantae; Streptophyta; Magnoliopsida; Arecales; Arecaceae.